GGUUGGGGAGGUGGGGGGAAGCGAAGCCCUAAGAUGGGCGGAGAGAAGCAGAUGUGGAGGUGAUGGCGAAGACCCAGAUAUAAGCAGUUGGUGAGUUCCAUGAGGAGACUGCAACUUCUCCACCCUGUGCCCCUCCAGAUCCCUCAUGCUGCUCUGUGUCCUCCAGGGUUGGCCUGUCCAAGUUCAACAGUGGGCUUCCACACCCUCCCACUUCCAGCUGGGUUGGCCAAGGACUUUCAACUGCGGCACCAGAAGGGACCUUAUAGCUGAGAAAAUUGAAGCUCAGAGAGCUGCAGCAGCUUGCCCAGCAUCAUACGGCACUGGAAAUGGUCAGCCAAUGUGUUCCGUAGAGCACGGUGGGUAACACACCCUUCAUCUUUCCAGGACCCCAUCGCCAACCUCUUCCUGUACCUCUGCUCCGCUGAGCACACAUUAAAAAAAAGAAAAGGCCGGGCACAGUGGCUUAUGCCUGUAAUCCCCGGACUUUGGGAGGC
RNAcentral lists this long non-coding RNA (494 nucleotides) under Homo sapiens (human). Its description in RNAcentral is "HSALNT0388032". The record is from RNAcentral. Lineage: Eukaryota; Metazoa; Chordata; Mammalia; Primates; Hominidae.